RNAcentral lists this ribosomal RNA (1417 nucleotides) under Nannizziopsis barbatae. RNAcentral describes it as "bacterial SSU rRNA". It matches the Rfam family "Bacterial small subunit ribosomal RNA". The record is from RNAcentral. Lineage: Eukaryota; Fungi; Ascomycota; Eurotiomycetes; Onygenales; Nannizziopsiaceae.
AAUUAUAUGAGUUUGAUGAUGGCUCUGAUUGAAUGCUAUCCAAGUAGUUGACACAUGCUAAUCGAACGUCAUUAUUAUAAAAUAAUGAAGUGGUGUACAGGUGAGAAAUAUAUUCUGGCUACCUUAAAGAAAGGGGAAAAUCCCUUAUUAAAAAAAAAAAACAAAUUGUUUUGCUUUAAGAUGUUAAUAAAUAUAACGGUAAGUAGUAGAUAAGGUAAUAACUUAACUAGCGUAAACUCCGUAGUCGUAACUGAGAAGUUGAUCGAUCACAUUGGGUCUGAAAAAACCCCAAGGCGUAUUAGUACAGCAGUGAGGAAUAUUGGUCAAUGGCCUAAAGGCUGAACCAGCAACUUGGAAGAAUGAGAUGUUGCAUCAUUUUUUAGCAGCUUUGCAUGCAUGAAGUUCUAAAUAAAUUAAUGAUAAUGACAAUUAUUUAUUUAUAAGUCUUGACAAAAUUACGUGCCAGCAGUCGCGGUAAUACGUAAGAGACUAGUGUUGAUCAUUUUUAAUGGGUUUAAAGUGUACUUAGACGGUAAAAAAGCCCAAAAGGGUACUUUUUUACUAGAGUUUUAUAAAAGAAGAAGAGAAUUUUUGGAGUAGAGAUGAAAUUUUUUGAUACUAAAAGGACUGAUAAGCGUAGGCAAUCUUCUAUUUAAAUACUGACGUUGAAGGACGAAGGCUUGGGUAGCAAUAAGGAUUAGAUACCCUAGUAGUCCAAGCAGAAAAUUAUGAAUGUCAUAAGUUUGAUAUAAAUUGAGCUUAUAAAUGAAAGUGAAAGCAUUCCACCUCAAAAGUAAGAUGGCAACAUUGAAACUGAAAUCAUUAGACCGUUUUUAAAACCAGUAGUGAAGUAUGUUAUUUAAUUCGAUAACCCGCGAAUAACCUUACCACAAUUUGAAUAAUAUUAAUUUAUUACAAGCGCUGCACGGCUGUCUUAAGAUAAUGUCGUGAGAUUUGGACACUCUAAUUAACUAAAACCCAAAUAUUAUUUUUAUAAAAAAAUAAUAUGUUUCAUGGCUUGUAAUUGGAGCAUAGGGCAUAAGACAAGUCAUCAUGGCCAAAAUAUUGUGGGCUAUAGACGUGCCGCAGAUACCAUAACAAAAGGAUGCUAUCUUGUGAAAAGGAGCUAAUCCUUAAAAUUGGUUAAUAAGAAUUGUAAUCUGUAACUCGAUUACAUGAAUAAGGAAUUACUAGUAAUCGUGAAUCACUACGUCACGGUGAAUUUGUUUUUAAUUGGGUACUAACCACUCGUCAGGCGCUGAAAGAAGUAUGUGCAAUAAGUUUGAUUUGUAUUUAUUAAAUUAUAUAUAUUUAUUUAUAUAUUAAUAAAUAUAUAAUUUUCGUAUGUGUGACUUUGAUUGGUGUUAAGUCGAAAUACGGUUCGUGUAAUGGAAAUUGCACGGGAUUGAUUAGCCUU